AUGUGACUGUGGAUCGAGCCCAUGUGAAGCCUCUUCGAUGAGUCGAGUUGUUUGGGAAUGCAGCUCAAAAUGGGUGGUAAAUUUCAUCUAAAGCUAAAUACUGGCUGGAGACCGAUAGCGCACAAGUAGAGUGAUCGAAAGAUGAAAAGCACUUUGGAAAGAGAGUCAAAAAGUACGUGAAAUUGUUGAAAGGGAAGCGCUUGCAACCAGACCUGCCCGUAGGCGAUCUGCCGCUGUUCUCAGCGGUUCACUCGCUCUACGAUCAGGCCAGCAUCGGUUCGGGCGGUCGGAUAAAGGCCUUGGGAAUGUAGCUUCCUUCGGGGAGUCUUAUAGCCCUCGGUGCAAUGCGGCCAGCCGGGACCGAGGACCGCGCUUCGGCUAGGAUGCUGGCGUAAUGGUUGCAAGCGACCCGUCUUGAAACACGGACCAAGGAGUCUAACAUCUAUGCGAGUGUUUGGGUGUCAAACCCAUGCGCGGAAUGAAAGUGAACGGAGGUGAGACCCCUUAAGGGCGCAUCAUCGACCGAUCCAGAUGUCUUCGGAUGGAUUUGAGUAUGAGCAUAGCUGUUGGGACCCGAAAGAUGGUGAACUAUGCCUGAAUAGGGUGAAGCCAGAGGAAACUCUGGUGGAGGCUCGCAGCGGUUCUGACGUGCAAAUCGAUCGUCAAAUUUGGGUAUAGGGGCGAAAGACUAAUCGAACCAUCUAGU
This 706-nucleotide ribosomal RNA is filed under the name Hypogymnia subarticulata. Its description in RNAcentral is "partial 28S large subunit ribosomal RNA". It matches the Rfam family "Eukaryotic large subunit ribosomal RNA", at positions 223 to 948 of the family's 3401-position model. Lineage: Eukaryota; Fungi; Ascomycota; Lecanoromycetes; Lecanorales; Parmeliaceae. The record is from RNAcentral.